UUCAGCACUAAGUCACUUUAUCUUUAUGGUAAAUGUGAGAUGCAGUGUAUGGAAUGUUCAAUUUCUAGUAUGAAAAAUUAACGAUUUAAGUCCUUCUUAAAUGAGGCCAUUUACCCAUAGAGGGUGCCAGGCCCGUAUAACGUUAAUGAUUACUAGAGAACAUUUCCAAAGAGUCGUGUUGCUUGAUAGUGCAGCACUAAGUGGGUGGUAAACUCCAUCUAAAACUAAAUAUAACCAUGAGACCGAUAGUAAACAAGUACCGUGAGGGAAAGUUGAAAAGAACUCUGAAUAGAGAGUUAAAUAGUACGUGAAACUGCUUAGAGGUUAAGCCCGAUGAACCUGAAUAUCCAUUAUAGAAAACUCAUCAUUAUGAUUGUAAUAUUAAUAAUAUUAUAAUAAUGGUGUGCAUUUUUUCUAUAUAAGGACAUUGUAAUCUAUUAAUAUAAAAUUAAAUUUAUCAUAAGAUCAAUUGCGCUAAGUUUAUUCAAAUUAUUAUGCUUGCAUUUUAACAUAGAAUAAAUGCUUUUGAUUUGAUAAAGUAUUGAUAGAUUUAUUAUAUACAGUGCUGGAAUAUUUUUAAUAUUCUAUAAUAGCAUGAUGAACAUGUUUGUUGUGUUUAUUAUAUGCACUUGUAUGAUUAACAAUGCGAAAGAUUCAGGAUACCUUCGGGACCCGUCUUGAAACACGGACCAAGGAGUCUAACAUAUUUGCAAGUUAUUGGGAAUUAAAAACCUAAUAGCGAAAUUAACAUAACUUAUAUAAUGGGAUUAGUUUUUAGUCUAUUUAUAGUCUAUUAAUUCAAUCCCGGGGCGUUCUAUCUGUUAUGUAUUUUGAUACUUGUAUCAUUUAUACCUCUAACUAGAGCGUACCUUGAGCAUAUAUGCUGUGACCCGAAAGAUGGUGAACUAUACUUGAUCAGGUUGAAGUCAGGGGAAACCCUGAUGGAAGACCGAAACAGUUCUGACGUGCAAAUCGAUUGUCAGAAUUGAGUAUAGGGGCG
Molecule: ribosomal RNA, 1000 nt
Filed under: Limnophora simulans
Lineage: Eukaryota; Metazoa; Arthropoda; Insecta; Diptera; Muscidae
Description: eukaryotic LSU rRNA
Rfam family: Eukaryotic large subunit ribosomal RNA
Source: RNAcentral